Molecule: long non-coding RNA, 287 nt
Filed under: Rattus norvegicus (Norway rat)
Lineage: Eukaryota; Metazoa; Chordata; Mammalia; Rodentia; Muridae
Description: long non-coding RNA NONRATT032885
Source: RNAcentral
GAGGACUUCAAGUUGAUGGGGUGAAGUGAGGGUGCAGCUGGCAGGGAAGGGGUUGAAGAUUACAGGGCUUAUCAGGUUCCCACUUUAGGGCUCAGUCACACUUCUUGGUAGGCAGCUUUAUUUUCCUUACCACAUCCUUGAUUACAGCUUGUAAAUCUUUAGGCCUGUUCCUUUACCCUCUCAGACAUCCAGUUCAAACAUGUGUAACGAAUUGGAAGAACGGACAUCUGUCACCCUGGACAAGAACUCCAGGCAGGACUGACGAGCUGCCUGCAACCAGCAGCUGA